GAUCCUGACUCAGGACGAACGCUGGCGACGUGCCUAAUACAUGCAAGUCGAGCGGACCGAAGGGAGCUUGCUCUUUUAGGUUAGCGGCGGACGGGUGAGUAACACGUGGGCAACCUGCCCUGCAGACUGGGAUAACUUCGGGAAACCGGAGCUAAUACCGGAUAACACCGAAAACCGCAUGGUUUUCGGUUGAAAGGCGGCUUUUAGCUGUCACUGCAGGAUGGGCCCGCGGCGCAUUAGCUAGUUGGUGAGGUAACGG
Molecule: ribosomal RNA, 259 nt
Filed under: uncultured bacterium
Lineage: Bacteria
Description: partial 16S ribosomal RNA
Rfam family: Bacterial small subunit ribosomal RNA
Source: RNAcentral